This 403-nucleotide ribosomal RNA is filed under the name uncultured bacterium. Its description in RNAcentral is "bacterial SSU rRNA". It matches the Rfam family "Bacterial small subunit ribosomal RNA", at positions 356 to 773 of the family's 1533-position model. The record is from RNAcentral.
GGGGAAUAUUGGGCAAUGGGCGAAAGCCUGACCCAGCAACGCCGCGUGAAGGAAGAAGGUUUUCGGAUUGUAAACUUCUGUCCUCAGGGAAGAAGGAAGUGACGGUACCUGAGGAGGAAGCCCCGGCUAACUACGUGCCAGCAGCCGCGGUAAUACGUAGGGGGCGAGCGUUGUCCGGAAUGACUGGGAGUAAAGGGCGCGUAGACGGUUUUUUAAGUCUGGAGUGAAAGUCCUGCUUUCAAGGUGGGAAUUGCUUUGGGGACUGGAAGGCUUGAGUGCGGAAGAGGUAAGUGGAAUUCCCAGUGUAGCGGUGAAAUGCGUAGAGAUUGGGAAGAACACCAGUGGCGAAGGCGACUUACUGGGCCGUAACUGACGUUGAUGCGCGAAAGCGUGGGGAGCGAAC